This 954-nucleotide long non-coding RNA is filed under the name Nicotiana tabacum (common tobacco). RNAcentral's name for it is "long non-coding RNA (NTAB_LNC001860)". The record is from RNAcentral. Lineage: Eukaryota; Viridiplantae; Streptophyta; Magnoliopsida; Solanales; Solanaceae.
AAAAUCAUCCCCCAGCGGGAAGGACACCGUUGCCCACCAUGAUUGAAACUAACUAAAUCCUUUUGUCUGCUGCAGGAAAAUAAAGGUUGACGAUGGCAGCAGAACGCGAUGCCAGAAAGGUCACCAAAACCGGGGUAGAAAAUUUUCUGCCGUUGUCAAAUAUUUUCUCGGAGGAACGAGGAAACAAAUUCAAAUAUGUCUUAGUUUAGAUAGGCGCCCACCUGUAUAACGAGAGGAAUAAUUUUCAGUCUUAGUUUAAAUAGGCGCCCACCUGUAUAACGAGGGGAAUAAUUUUCAGUCAUAGUUUAAAUAGGCGCCCACCUGUAUAACGAGAGGAAUAAUUUUCAAUCUUAGUUUAAAUAGGCGCCCACCUAUUUAACGAGAGGAAUAAUUUUCAUGUCUUAGUUUAAAUAGGCGCCCACCUGUAUAACGAGAGAAAUAAUUUUCAGUCUUAGUUUAAAUAGGCGCCCACCUGUAUAACGAGAGGAAUAAUUUUCAAUCUUAGUUUAAAAAGGCUGCCACCUGUAUAACGAGAGGAAUAAUUUCAUGUCUUAGUUUAAAUAGGCGCCCACCUGUAUAACGAGAGGAAUAUUUUUAUGUUUUAGUUUAAAUAUUUCAGGUUUUGAGAGAAGUAACCCCACCGGAAGGUAGAAGGUUACAACAGGAAUAUCCAGCCUGUAACAAUAAAAAUCCCCAGCGCCGGGAAGCAGAGGGCGGCAAACUCAGACACACGAGUCAAAAGGACGCGUAAGGACGCAUUUUGAAAGAAGCAGCUUGUGAACAUUGAGUCAUGCCCAGCGUGGCAAAUCUUAUGAAGAGAGCCAUACCGCCGAAGGAACCAUUGAAAGGCUUGAUGAAGAAGGCCAUGUCCCCAGCGGAUCAAGCAAAAUGAAAACUGGUACUCAGAGGAGCAAAAGGCCCGUAACAUCCCUCAAGUUCACAAAAUAAAAGCAU